GCUGCUUAUUUUUUAAUAAAUUAUUUUUUAAGUUUUAUCCUGAACUGCUGUUAGCGUCUUGUUUUGAGCCAGAGCGAGAAACAAACAUUAUUUUCCCACAACAAUUUGGCGAGCCAGCCAGGAGAUUCUCGCUUGCCAGAAUUAUCCAGGAGGCUGUGAACCGUCCCAAAAGCCGGUACAGAGAUCUUUUGAGUCUCAAGGUGACGUUUUCACGGGCUCUGGGUAAAUGGCUAUGAAGUGGCUUUAUUUUUACAGCAGUUUGGAAUUAAAACAUUCUGUCCCCUGAUAAAAAUUGCUUUGUUUUGAGUGAAUACCUUGACUGCAUGGUGUGGCUUGUUUGUCUUUCGUGCAAGAGUUGCCUGCUUUGUUCUGGUUAUAAGGAAGAGGGCUUGAAUCGUCAUAAGGAUGACCUCACCGCAAAGAGGCGGGAAUUUCAAGGGGUACCGGUACCAUAAGAUAAACAGCCAAAGGAAAACGUAGCCGAUGCCCCCCCCCAGCCUGUUAGAAAUCAGCCUGACACUACAAAUUGGUAUGAUUCUAUUAUAUCUUGCAGCUUAUUGAAUGGUUGCAUUUGUUUCUAAGCAUGUAAGUUAUAAUUUGAUUACAGGAAUCAGUUCUCGACUGACCCAAGAUUUUCUGCUGCCACCUGCAAGGGGAAAGCUCAUGCUUGUAUCACAUUUAACUUUUCUAUCAUAGGAAGGCACAGAAGCCAUAACAGAAGUCAUAAUUCCAAAUUAUUUCCUCCAAUUAUCUGAUAUGAAUCCGUUGUUAUUAAGGGUUUUUCAUUUGUCCAUCUUGUUUGAUAAAUGUUUAUACAUUAACAAUGCCUGUUUUGUUUUUGCAUGGGUGUAGAGGGGAAUUUCCUCCUUUCUCCUCCCUUUGGCACUUUGAAAAGGAGGCAUAGUUUUUGAAGUAUUUAGUUUUUGCUCAUUUGUCUUUGUAUAUCUUUUUAACUUUUAUGUAUAAACUUUUUGGAGCUCCUUUUUUUGUCACUCUGGUAUAAUGUUAAGAAAUUAAGAAAUUUUCUGCUAUCUGAUCCAUGGGCAUAAGUUUACCUUGGUGAUUCAAAAAAGGGCCUUAUUAAUGGUUAUGUUGUCUAUUAUAUAGCUAUAAAAUAUUUUUCUCAUUGCCAGUACUGGUUUCUUUCUCUCUCUCUUUGUAUUCCUCUGUAGAAAAAUUUUAAGGAAGAUUUUAUUUUUCUCCAAAGCUCCUUUCUCUUAUUUUUGGUACAUUUAUCUUCUAAAGAAGGACAUUUUGUUUUGAAUUUGUUUUGUUUUCUGGUACUGUAGUUCCUUAAUUCCCAGGCAGCGAAUUAAGUUAUUUAAAGUUGUUUUUCUCCAUUCUGUGUACAAGGUUCCAAAAAGUGCAAACACAAGGGUGCAUGAGGGUUUCACCCCUCCUUUUCUUUCAGUCAAGAUCUGUUUUCAAAUGUUGAAGGCCAAGCUGUUUUGGCUGUACAGAGUACUUUCCAUGCAAUCUGUAUGAGUGCACAAAGGGGGGAGAACAUCCUCCUUUAAGAUCAUCCCCAGUGUUGAUAUCCUUGCCAAAUAUAUUCAGCGGUAGGGGAAAAGUGGUGGUGUUUGCCCAUCUGGCAGAUGGCAUGUUCCCAUGGGUGUUAUUCCUUUCAUGUAUAUGUAUAUCCCCUAUGAAUUUUGUGCUUGAGUAUGCUGUUUUGCCAUGGAAAAAGGGGGGUAGGUAGGCAUAUAUGGUUGUAUGGUAUGUACAGAUGUGUGCAAUAAUAAUAAUAAUAAUAAUGUGGAAAAAUAACAUUACAACUUAGUGUUUGGCUAUCUAUGUGAGAACAUGCAUGAAUCAUACACAUGUUCCCAUACCUCAUUCAAAACAAUGAUUGGUUCUAUACUGGGUCUUAUAAUUUGAGAGAAUGUUACAGAUGCCAUACGCCCUGGUUUCCUUUUCAUCCCCCACCUCUUGGUCCAAACAGGCCUCUCCAUUUCCUUAUUUUGUCAAUGUUUCUGGUGCAACUCAAACUGAUUUUGUGGGUCAUGCUAAAGCUACUCAAACAGAUGUUCAUUGCUGUGAUCAGUCUACUCAAUCAAGAUUUCACCCAGAUCAACUAUAAAAGAGUGUUUGAAAUAGGGUUUGUCUUUAAUUAUGACCAAAUUGAUAUGUAAAUCUCUGAGGCCAAGGAAAAAGGUCCUCAGGGAAAGGUAUCGAGGUUAUUUAUAUUGUGUAUUGUAUUAUAUUCUAUGAACUUUAUGAAUAGCAUUGUAAUCAGUCUAGGGUUAAAGAAGCACAGUCUCUUCCCACUGAUGUUCCUUGUUAUGAGCAAAAGGGGGAAAUUAUGUGUGAGAAGUAGUAAUUUCUUGGGUUCAACCUUUUCCAGUUCUUGUAUUCACCAAUAUAGCAGUUAAAGCAAGGAAAAAGGAGGCCUGGAUACACGCAGCAUGUGUGAAAAGGACAUUACAUCCAACAGAUGCCCUCUCAACCAUGGGACCCUGAUGCUUUGUUUUCCUUAGGAGGAUUGUCUUUAGAGGACCUAGCGACACUGGCUGAAAAUAUCCUGAGAAUGAGCAGAAAGAGGCAUUGGAAAUAUGUAAGGAAUCUACUAACUUUAAAUCAAAAGCCUUAAUUCCUUCCCAGGUGUCUUCCUGUUGGCGCAGAUGCAGAUAUGGCCAAAAUGUUAAAAGAGGAAGGCUUUUUGAUAAAGGACAGCGUUGAUUCAAGUUUGAUUUCCUAAGUAAGGGCUACAGGAGAAUUUCCAGACCGUUUGGACAAGGCUUGGAGGAUCUGGUGAAUUCCCACCCCGACAUGCUGGAAUCAGACUUGGAGGUUUUCCAAGAGCAGCUUAAUCAAGAGUGUUUGUUGGAUGAACUCCUCACUCAUAUCAAUGAAGGAUUCCAAGGCUGUUAUAGUUUCCGCCCAUGCCAGUUGAAGAAAAGGCAUUUCUAAAGUCACUCGGGGGAAGGUGGGUUUUGAGAAAUAAAGUCUCCGUACCUUUUUUCCUUUUAGAUGUCCAAAGAAAGAUGCUGCAAUUAAUUGUUCUUUUCAUCAUUUAAGUUUUUCUGACUAGCAUCAGCAACCCAUGGACAGAUGAAUUAAACUUCCACUAAACAUGACCAUCUGGUCUCCUGAGGAUGGAGCGUGUACAAUCUACCCUGCAGUAUGUUUCAAGAUCACAGGAAUUGUUUUAUUUUUCAUUAUAAUAUUGAGUGUUAUAGAAUUCUUUUGUUUAAAGUUUUUAUUGUUAUAUUUUAUAAUUUGGCAUAUUGUAAUUGUCUAUGUUAUCCUGUUUGCUGGUAAAUGUUUAAUGUUCCUGCUAUUGUAUAAAUAUUGUAAUAGUUAGGCUGUGUUAAGGGUGUAGAAAUGAAUCCAGCAGGGAAGUUUGAUUGGUUUGUAUUUAUAAGUUUCACACGAAGCAUGCACAUAUGACCACAAUGGCCUCCUAAUCAGGAUUACAUCAGUAAGGUAUUUACAAAAUAAGAAGAAGCCAUAGUGUAAAUAAAGGUAAUUCACCCAUUAGGAAAAGCCAUUAUUGCUAUAGCAUAUCAUGGAAAAUUGAUGUAAGUAAGAAUAGGACUUAUAAUUGAUUUUUUGCAUUAAUGUAUAUAUUGUUGGAUGCUGAAGUUCACUGGAGGUUGUACAAUACACACUUUGGUUGAAAGAAGGAUAGAAUGAAAUCAAGAAAGAAAUGUGAUGUUAUAUAAAUAAAGGUAUUGGCCAGAGUAGUGAGCCACUUUGAAUGCUGUAAACCAAAUAUGGUUGAAGGAGAACCUCUGGCAUGUGGGCAUGCUGAGGUUCUAAGGGGGGAUUGUUAAGGGUUAAUUCCUCUGACACACUAAAAGCACCUCCUUGAGGGUCAUCCUUGAGAGUUAUCUACUGUUUUGAUUAAGCACCGCCAUCUUACAACGGAUGUCUAUAUCCACCAUCUUAGUAAUGUAAGCUGUUCAUGUACUGUGGCCGGAAGCCUGACUCAGGGAAUACACUGGUGGAACUAGUUCAAUGUAACACACUGUAAUAUUACCAUAUAUGGAGUUCCUACUGUAAGCUUCCUGUAAGUUGUUUACUAAGGGGUAUAAAUAUCGGGGGAACAAGACAGUCUGGGUCGACCGCACUCAUUCUGAAUUGCUGGUGUGAGUGCUGCUUAUUUUUUAAUAAAUUAUUUUUUAAGUUUUAUCCUGAA
This is a long non-coding RNA of Rhineura floridana, 4141 nucleotides long. RefSeq lists it as uncharacterized. The record is from RefSeq and is a predicted model, not a curated record. The transcript has 2 exons. Lineage: Eukaryota; Metazoa; Chordata; Lepidosauria; Squamata; Rhineuridae.